GGAUCAUUACUGAGUUAUUUUGAUUUUAUAUCAAAACUCUCCACCCUUUGAUUCUUAUUGUAAAGAAUUUAGCUUCGGUAGGACUGUUGUAAAAAACAACUGGCAAUUUUAAAUUGUUGGUUUGUGCCUACCGAUAGCAUCAAAAACUCGAAUAAUUUGUUUGUCUGAUUCAAAAUUUUAAUAAAUUAAAACUUUCAACAACGGAUCUCUUGGUUCUGGCAUCGAUGAAGAACGCAGCGAAAUGCGAUAAGUAAUGUGAAUUGCAGAAUUCAGUGAAUCAUCGAAUCUUUGAACGCACAUUGCGCCUCAGGGUAUUCCUUGAGGCAUGCCUGUUCGAGCGUCGUUUAAACCCAUAAAGCUUUGCUUUGUUUUGGAUUUUUGUUUUUACUACAAAACAAAUCCUAAAAUUAUUGGCAUCCGAUUUGGCCUAAUAACACAUCAACUUGUAUUAUUUUAUCAAAUAAGGAUUGUUAACCAACCCCAAAAUUUAAAUGUCGACCUC
This 502-nucleotide ribosomal RNA is filed under the name fungal sp. EXP0541F. RNAcentral describes it as "eukaryotic LSU rRNA". The stretch from base 190 to 343 matches the Rfam family "5.8S ribosomal RNA". The record is from RNAcentral. Lineage: Eukaryota; Fungi.